AUUGCCACUAGAGGCAUUGCAGGUGUGACUGUUAUGUCACAUGGGUACUUUAGUAGAAGACAGAGAAGAAGGAGGCUAUGUCCGUGCCCAAUGAUCAGACCUGUGAAUGAUCAGUAGAUUUACAUU
RNAcentral lists this small nucleolar RNA (126 nucleotides) under Meriones unguiculatus (Mongolian gerbil). Its description in RNAcentral is "Small nucleolar RNA SNORA17 (ENSMUGG00000014914.1)". It matches the Rfam family "Small nucleolar RNA SNORA17". Rfam says of the family: snoRNA ACA 17 belongs to the H/ACA family of snoRNAs and is predicted to guide pseudouridylation of the 28S rRNA at positions U4659 and U4598. It shares the same host gene together with ACA43. NB This family has a high threshold value to exclude a large number of closely related sequences that do not appear to have conserved H and ACA boxes, and may be pseudogenes. The record is from RNAcentral. Lineage: Eukaryota; Metazoa; Chordata; Mammalia; Rodentia; Muridae.